CCUACGGGUGGCAGCAGUGGGGAAUAUUGGGCAAUGGGCGCAAGCCUGAACCAGCAACGCCGCGUGAAGGAAGAAGGCUUUCGGGUUGUAAACUUCUUUUCUCAGGGACGAAGCAAGUGACGGUACCUGAGGAAUAAGCCACGGCUAACUACGGGCCAGCAGCCGCGGUAAUACGGAGGUGGCAAGCGGUAUCCGGAUUUAAUGGGUGUAAAGGGCGUGUAAGCGGGAUUGCAAGUCAGAUGUGAAAACCAUGGGCUCAACCUGUGGCCUGCAGUUGAAACUGUAGUUCUUGAGUACUGGAGAGGCAGACGGAAUGCGUAGUGUAGCGGUGAAAUGCGUAGAUAUUAGGAGGAACACCAGUGGCGAAGGCGGUCUGCUGGACAGCAACUGACGCUGAGGCGCGAAAGCGUGGGGAGCAAACAGGAUUAGAUACCCGUGUAGUC
Molecule: ribosomal RNA, 443 nt
Filed under: uncultured bacterium
Lineage: Bacteria
Description: partial 16S ribosomal RNA
Rfam family: Bacterial small subunit ribosomal RNA
Source: RNAcentral